RNAcentral lists this unclassified non-coding RNA (253 nucleotides) under uncultured Gammaproteobacteria bacterium. RNAcentral's name for it is "contains 16S-23S intergenic spacer region". It matches the Rfam family "Bacterial small subunit ribosomal RNA", at positions 524 to 776 of the family's 1533-position model. The record is from RNAcentral. Lineage: Bacteria; Pseudomonadati; Pseudomonadota; Gammaproteobacteria.
UACAGAGGGUGCGAGCGUUAAUCGGAAUUACUGGGCGUAAAGGGUGCGUAGGUGGUUACAUAAGUUAGGUGUGAAAGUCCCGGGCUUAACCUGGGGAUUGCGCCUGAUACUGUGUAGCUAGAGUUCUGGAGAGGAAAGUGGAAUUUCCGGUGUAGCGGUGAAAUGCGUAGAUAUCGGAAGGAACAUCAGUGGCGAAGGCGACUUUCUGGACAGAAACUGACACUGAGGCACGAAAGCAUGGGGAGCAAACAGG